Molecule: long non-coding RNA, 1128 nt
Filed under: Olea europaea (common olive)
Lineage: Eukaryota; Viridiplantae; Streptophyta; Magnoliopsida; Lamiales; Oleaceae
Description: long non-coding RNA (OEUR_LNC013219)
Source: RNAcentral
CCGAUAUCCUUUUUGCAACUUGCUCUCUCUCUUUGUCAGACAACUCACGAAAUGUUUUCCCUUCUAUAAUACUGUGCUCAACGUUAUCUGCAUUUGAAGAAAGUAUUCCACAUUCCAUAGCAAUUGCUUUGGCUGUUUGAAGAUUGUCUCCAGUUACCAUGCGCACCUGAUUAACAGAUGUAGGUUAACAUUGAUUUCAUCUCUUUCUUCUUCUUUAAUCGAGAGAAUAACACAAUAUCUUAUGCAUCAUUCUAAUGAACAUUCAUGAUAUGAAGGCUAGUAUGUUUCUGAUUCUUGUACUUUUACACCAAUACCCGUCACAACAAUGCACUAAAUUAGCUGCAUCUUAAAAUUCUCUAACUACUACUUCCAUGCAUGUGCAUGGAAACCAGAUUUAGAUUAUGUUUGGGCAAUCUUGUCUGAUAUUGCUGAAAAUCUGAUUAUCUGCAAAACUUGAUUCUUCGAAAAUUCAAAAUCUGUAUAAAGAAUUCAGCCUUGGGGGCCACCUUACAUCAACAAACAACUAUUUUCCCCGUUUAUUUUCCUUUCCUUUAACGCCCUUGAUCGGGAAGUUCAAUUGAUGAAAUUGCCCUCCACAGAAUUGAAGACCUUUUAGUGAAAUGACAUCAACAAGAGCAGUUCCGUCAAUUGAACAAAGAGGUGGAAGUCAAUUACACAAUGUUGGUGAGAGGUGUUGCAGUUAAUUGUAGAGUUUUGAGAAAUAUUUAAUGAACUUUCGGCCCCAUAUUCUAAAACCUUAAAAGCGAUUUUAUCAUUUCAGCAGCACUAGACAAGCAUUUAAGAAAUUGACAUUGAAGUGCAACCAAGACCAAAUAUGAUGGGCUGCAUAUUCAAAUCAACUGGCUGCGUCAACAGUUUGUUAACAAGGCUAUGGAUCUUACUGCAGCAACCACCUACACAAUGUCCAUAUACAUAUAAAAUUUGGAUAUUAGGAUAAAUACCUUAACACCAGCAUCCAUACAUAGUUUCACCGCAUCUUUGACACCUGGACGGCAAGGAUCCUGUGAAAUGUUACGUGUUAAAACAAAAAGGAAAAUGUAAUAGAGGAAAAUGAAUUUUCUAGGAGUAGAAAUGCUAUCUAUUAACUAUUUCUAAUUCACCAAAAAA